GCGGAUGUAGCUCAGUUGGUAGAGCAUCACCUUGCCAAGGUGAAUGUCGCGGGUUCGAGUCUCGUCAUCCGCUC
RNAcentral lists this transfer RNA (74 nucleotides) under uncultured Acidimicrobiales bacterium. RNAcentral describes it as "tRNA-Gly". It matches the Rfam family "tRNA". From Rfam's summary of the family: Transfer RNA (tRNA) molecules are approximately 80 nucleotides in length. Their secondary structure includes four short double-helical elements and three loops (D, anti-codon, and T loops). The record is from RNAcentral. Lineage: Bacteria; Bacillati; Actinomycetota; Acidimicrobiia; Acidimicrobiales. RNAcentral also lists the same sequence under 1 other name.